RNAcentral lists this long non-coding RNA (220 nucleotides) under Gossypium raimondii (Peruvian cotton). RNAcentral's name for it is "long non-coding RNA (GRAI_LNC000797)". The record is from RNAcentral. Lineage: Eukaryota; Viridiplantae; Streptophyta; Magnoliopsida; Malvales; Malvaceae.
CCAAGGCUAUGCUAGAGGUGGUAGGGCAGACUAUUAUGCAUUCAGAACAUCUUGGCAGCACAAUUGUAGUUAGUAUUAUCACUAUGGGUUGUUAUGCAUUAAACAAAUAGAAUAACAUAUUUAAGUCAUGAUUUUCUCUUGUAAGUCCUCGUUAGCUGAAGUCUUAUACAAUGGUUGUAAAUAUCUACAGUACGUCUAGUUGUAAGUUAGUUGAAACAAU